AUGCCCAUUGCAACUGGCAAUUCGUUCAGCAGAGGAAGGAUGAGAACCGGUCAGGAGUCAACACACAUCACCACAACUAACCCAAACGGGUGGAACAAGGACGAAUUUUCCGAAAGGAUACAUGACAUUACUUGUCAGCUGCAAGAUGGACGAGAGGCUAUCACAAGGCUUCUCAACAUACUUGGGUCCGGUGGUGCAAUUUCAAAUGCCUGUCAGAGUACAAUCUCAGAUCCAUGCAGAAGAACAGCCAGUCUUGUUCAAGGGAAAGUGUAUGGGAGAGACGAAGAGAAGAGAUCCAUCAAAUCACUGAUAAAAGAACACAAAGCAACUGUCGGUUUAACUGUUCUGCCUAUUGUAGGCAUCGGAGGAGUUGGGAAGACAGCUCUUGCUCAGCUUGUAUACAAUGAUCCAGCUGUGGAAAGCCAAUUUGAUCACAAGAUAUGGAUUUGGGUGUCUAAUAAAUUUGAUGAAAUGAGACUCACAAGAGAGAUGUUAGAUCACGUCUCCCAAGAAACACAUGAUGGCAUAUGCAGCUUUUCCAAGCUUCGGGAGGUCUUGAAGGAUCAUAUUAAAUCAAAGAGGGUUCUACUUAUUUUAGAUGAUCUCUGGGAAGGCAUGGAUGAUGGCCGAUGGAACAAAUUGUUAGCUCCGUUCAGUUCUGAUGGUGCAACUGGCAAUAUGAUAGUUCUGACAACAAGAAAACCGUUUGUUGCCAAAAAGAGAGGUACAACUGGACCAAUUAACUUGGAUGGUUUGAAAAAUGGUGAUUUUUGGCCAAUGUUCAAAACAUGUGCAUUUGGUGAUGAGAAUUACAAAGAGAAAGAAAGUCUAAGUGAUUUAGGACAGAAAAUAGCAGGAUGGUUGAAAGGAAACCCAUUAGCAGCACAAACUGUUGGGGUACUACUAAAAGAUCAUCUUACUGUGGAUCAUUGGAGUAACAUUCUAAACACUGAAGAUUAG
Molecule: ribosomal RNA, 960 nt
Filed under: Triticum aestivum (bread wheat)
Lineage: Eukaryota; Viridiplantae; Streptophyta; Magnoliopsida; Poales; Poaceae
Description: partial small subunit ribosomal RNA
Source: RNAcentral